GACAGGUUCUCGGUCAACGUGGAGACCAGGCGUUCGUUGGCCGAACCCACAAAGUCUUCAUCCCCGCUCGUCUUCAUCAGCUCGUCAAACUCUGUGAGAAAACUUUAGGUCUGGUACCUGGAGCCCAGUUCCGGGUGAGCGGGUGUCGGCACACGACGGCGGACCGGGCGACGCAGGAGACCAAGCUGAGCUCGUCCGAGGAGGUGAUGACCAGGAAGGGCAGGAGCCGCCAGCCAGCCUUCUGCACCAGCUCGGUGUCCCCUUUUCCUAGCCGUGGAUCGGACAGUAAAUGCACCGCCUCCGUCAGCACCGGCAGCCUGCGGGAGACGAUGCAGAGCUCAGAGUUACGGACAGGACACAAAGGCAUCGCCAUUAUUCCUUAUAAUGAUAACGGGUGAAAAUCCCCCGUGUGGGACGAGUAAAGGAUUAUUUUAGUUUAUCCCGUUGUAGAUGUGUGUGUAGUUCACUGACCAGUGAUCGUCCUGGGACGAAUCGUCUCUGUGCAGCAGCGACAAUAGAGAGGACACCGAGUCCUCGGGAUCCAACACGUCCAACAGAACCUGAACACAACAACCGUCAGCUGUCUUCUCCUUUGACCCGUCACACCCGACCCCCUUCCUCCUCCGUCACACUGACCUCCAUGACCUUGAGAGUGGCUGACACGACCUCAGGCACGUCGUCCUUCAGUCGGUCCGUGACGGCGUCUCUGACGAAGACUUCGUCUAAACUCGGCUGGAGCCACGUGAGAUAAAACGGAAAAGGUUUAGAGCCUUGAGGAGCACAAUAACCUGACGUAGCUUCCCACGAGAUGAAGCAUUUAGAAAGUAGCAGAGGAAUCCGUCUCUAUUGACCGCGAUGUCACCUGUGCACCGUGACGUUACCUGAGCGGAGGCGACCACGCCCAUCAGGUGCUCCAACGCAGAGACCCUGACGGAAGGCUGCGGGUGUUUCAGACUGAGCAGCAGCGACGUGUCCGAGUCACCGAUUACCUUACGGAGGAAAGCACGUUAGCUACGUCACACACACCUUGUUGUAACGGCGGCCCGUGUGUGUACCUGGUGUUUCCCGCUGCAGGUGGACAGAGAGAGGAACUGCAGGUACCGACGCCUCUGCUCACCGACGCCGGCCACGUGACCCACGAGGAGGCCGUCCAUAGCGGCGCAGUAUCUGGGGAAGGAGGACCGCAGAGCUAACGCUAACGCAGAGCGUGUAAAACAGCGAUAAAUGAAGAGCGUCCGGCAGCUGGACUCACCUGGAUUCAAACAGCCGGACCAGAGGGGAGAGGCGGCGGUGGAGGUCCGAGGUUUCCUCAGCGGAGAGUUCAACAUGACCGAGGGUUUGUUGUUGAUGCUGUAGGUGACGAAGGUGCGUUUACCGCGCUGCCGUUCGGUCCAGGUCUCCGGUCAGAGGGACAGACUUCAGGACGGCCUCCAGCACGCCGAGCUCGUCGGUCUGCGCCACACCUGGGACAAAGGAGGACAGGUGAACAGGGUGUCUUCUCACAAACAGAGAGAGGGGCGGGGCUCUGGCUCUCACCUGG
Non-coding RNA from Gasterosteus aculeatus aculeatus (three-spined stickleback), 1540 nucleotides. The record is from RefSeq and is a predicted model, not a curated record. NCBI's taxonomy places the organism in Eukaryota, Metazoa, Chordata, Actinopteri, Perciformes, Gasterosteidae.